RNAcentral lists this long non-coding RNA (706 nucleotides) under Salmo salar (Atlantic salmon). RNAcentral describes it as "lncRNA (ENSSSAG00000082118.1)". Lineage: Eukaryota; Metazoa; Chordata; Actinopteri; Salmoniformes; Salmonidae. The record is from RNAcentral.
CAAUGAGGAGAUGAGAAAUGCAGGACUUGCAGCGAGAUCUAUUUUAGCCCGUGCAAUAAUUGAAUAACAUAGAUUUCUAAAUUUAUUUUUGCAACGCUCGCGUGAGGUCAGUCUGUAACGCUAGCUUGCUAACGUUAGCUCUUUUUUUUAAAUUGUAAUGACCUGGCUAGAUCGUAAAGGAACAAUUGUCCAGACAAUUGAUUGGUUAAUAAACCGUGAUUUCGUAACCUCAAACUCCACACAGGCUACUGUUUGGAACCACCAGGAUGCGUGGCAUCAGAACAUUCCAGGCAUUCCCGUGAUUGGCAGGUAGUAGGUUAAUUGGCAGGUCGGACCCCGCGAACACUGGGUACUGGUUAGCAUUGAAGAGUUUUCCCCCACAGCCAGGAUGACCAAGUGCCCACACUUUGACAGGAACAUUCUGUGUCCACCAUCAACACAGGAGCUGGGGGACCUGAUGGAGGAGGCUCGCAUGCGCAUCCUGAAGGCACAGGUCUGGGUCACUUCACUGGAUCACACUCAAAACUAUAUUCAUGAUGCCAUCAUAUUCACCCUGACCUCACGUAAAGUGGUAGUGGUUCUACACACCUCACUAUUUCAAGUCCUGACCAGGCUUAAUUGAGAGGGAGAAAGAGGGAGCAGGAUGGCGGAUCAAGGCUGUGUACCUUUAGAGCAACUAUCUUCUUAGAUAGAACCAUCAAAGGAA